GACGAACGCUGCGGCGGGCUUCACACAUGCAAGGUGGACGGAAAGGCCCUGCUUUUGUGGGGUUCUCGAGUGGCGAACGGGGGGGGAACAAGUGAGUAACCUGCCCUUGACUUUGGGGUAACUUCAGGGAAACGGGGCUAAUACCGGAAAGGAGCUCCUGCUGCAUGGGGGGGGGUGGGAAGUUUCGGCGGUUGGGGGUGGACUCGCGGCUUAUCAGCUUGUUGGUGGGGUAGUGGCUUACCAAGGCUUUGACGGGUAGCCGGCCUGAGAGGGUGACCGGCCACAUUGGGACUGAGAUACGGCCCAGACUCCUACGGGAGGCAGCAGUGGGGAAUAUUGCACAAUGGGCGGAAGCCUGAUGCAGCAACGCCGCGUGCGGGAUGACGGCCUUCGGGUUGUAAACCGCUUUCGCCUGUGACGAAGCGUGAGUGACGGUAAUGGGUAAAGAAGCACCGGCUAACUACGUG
Molecule: ribosomal RNA, 467 nt
Filed under: uncultured bacterium
Lineage: Bacteria
Description: partial 16S ribosomal RNA
Rfam family: Bacterial small subunit ribosomal RNA
Source: RNAcentral